GUCCACGCCGUAAACGAUGGGCACUAGAUGCCGGGUCUAUAGACGGAUUCGGUGUCGCAGCUAACGCACUAAGUGCCCCGCCUGGGGAGUACGGCCGCAAGGCUGAAACUCAAAGGAAUUGACGGGGGCCCGCACAAGCGGUGGAGCAUGUGGUUUAAUUCGAAGCAACGCGAAGAACCUUACCUGGGCUUGACAUCUUGGUGAAAGCCUCUGGAAACAGGGGCCCUCCUUCGGGACACCAAGACAGGUGCUGCAUGGCUGUCGU
This 265-nucleotide ribosomal RNA is filed under the name uncultured bacterium. RNAcentral describes it as "partial 16S ribosomal RNA". It matches the Rfam family "Bacterial small subunit ribosomal RNA", at positions 793 to 1055 of the family's 1533-position model. The record is from RNAcentral.